GUUCUCACUUUGGCAGCACAUACACUAAAAUUGGAAUGAUACAUAGAAAAUUAGCAUGACCCCUGAGCAAGGAUGACACACAAAUUCAUGAAGCAUUCCAUAAGUUU
Molecule: small nuclear RNA, 107 nt
Organism: Heterocephalus glaber (naked mole-rat)
Lineage: Eukaryota; Metazoa; Chordata; Mammalia; Rodentia; Bathyergidae
Source: Ensembl